UACGAAGGGGGCUAGCGUUGUUCGGAAUCACUGGGCGUAAAGGGCGCGUAGGCGGCUUUAUAAGUCGGGGGUGAAAGCCUGUGGCUCAACCAUAGAAUUGCCUUCGAUACUGUAGAGCUUGAGACCGGAAGAGGUAAGUGGAACUGCGAGUGUAGAGGUGAAAUUCGUAGAUAUUCGCAAGAACACCAGUGGCGAAGGCGGCUUACUGGUCCGGUUCUGACGCUGAGGCGCGAAAGCGUGGGGAGCGAUCCGG
This 253-nucleotide ribosomal RNA is filed under the name uncultured bacterium. Its description in RNAcentral is "partial 16S ribosomal RNA". It matches the Rfam family "Bacterial small subunit ribosomal RNA", at positions 524 to 776 of the family's 1533-position model. The record is from RNAcentral.